RNAcentral lists this long non-coding RNA (2193 nucleotides) under Hordeum vulgare. RNAcentral's name for it is "long non-coding RNA (HVUL_LNC007658)". The record is from RNAcentral. Lineage: Eukaryota; Viridiplantae; Streptophyta; Magnoliopsida; Poales; Poaceae.
ACGCCGACCGAAAAUCUAGGCAGGCGCCAGCGCGCAGAUCACUCCCGUGGCAAAAUCGUUUCUCGCGACAGGCAGUAGUGGCUGUCUGUAAAAAUGACGUGUCGGGUUUCUGUUUCGAGAGAAAUCUUAAAUUCUGCCACCACAUAAAAACGUGUUGCUCGUCUUGGCUGCCAAGCAAUCAGACCGUACUGGCGUGUUCAGAUCGUUGGCAACGUGUUUCUUCUCGGCUCAGCUUAGUUACAAAAGACAGUGGUACUGAACUUUGGGGCAUGCGCUUUCUGCUUGAAUGGCGUCAUCACACCCAAACGAGCCUUUUGGUCUAAAAAUAAAGGAACUAAAUACGAGUAGUACACGAUAUCUUCACGAUAUUAAUAUGCUGUGAGAACUGAGAAAACAAGCUGUCGCAGUUUGCUAUUGUUCGUGAAGUGGCACGAUAUUUGCAUUGAAGAGGUGAGGUGAGAUGAACGGACAAGCAAACGCAAACUGCCUUCUUCAAGUUGACAUAUCAAUGAUCAGACGGUAGUGAGUGUCAAACAGGGCCAGAGGCCGCAUCGGCCAAUGACUAAUUAUUUCCUCCCAAUGUUGCAGCGAACGAGCUAUUUAAUGUACAACGCAGCCGCAAGCCCUUUCGAUCCGAUCCUGAUUUCACAACAGCCACUUGCAAAGCUGCUUCAGCUGGAACAAGCUCAGACCUUCGAUGGUGGAUCCUGGAAACCGCAAACCAUAUUGGCGGGUACAGCAACGUCGAUCAUCUUUGGGUAAGACAGGUUCAGAUCUGCCCAAGUAGAGAGAAAGGAAACCAUCAACUCAUCUUCCGGCUAAGAAAUUGAUUGAAAUUAGGAGUGGAUCAGUUCGAUCCGGUAAGGGUGAAACUGUCUUUGUGAGCUUGAGUGAACAGUUAAAUCGUUUUUUUAAAUCUGAUUUUAUUAGCAAACAUUUACAAAUGUUUUCACUACUUGUAAAGUUUAAUCCCAAAAUUACAUUUGUGCUUUCAUAAAAAAAAAUACAUUUGUGGAAGACAUGGAAAGAAAACAAAAUCAAUGCUUUUGAAAAUGACACUUUUGGAGCAUCGGUUUUGAUAUUUUGACACGUUUUCCACAAAUGCCAUCCGAUGUUGAAACUUUGCAAGCAAUGAAAACAUUUUUCUAUGUUUGCUACAAAAAUAAUUCAGAUGUUUUUUUUCUUUUUUCCCGACUGUACUAUUCCAUGAUCUCGAGCGCAGUUUAACCGCGUCCAAGGGUAAGGGGGCAUUAUCAGAAACGAACACAGGUAUUCAUGUAUUCGACAGGCAGGUACUUACUUUCCAUGAUCGUCUUGAAAGUUUCCUGCAAGCAGAUCAUGCAAGACAUAGUUAGGAACGAACUGACACCUUUUAUGGGGUAAACAAUAAAGAAUUUUAGCCUAAUUAGCCGGUACCUUAUCUUUUGAUAGUCGGGCAUUAUAAGUAACCUCCUCUUCAACAGUAGUUACCUGCAGAUAGUAUAUUAACUCAAGCAACUAGCAACUUGAAAGCCAAAAUUUAAGAUGCUCAGUAAGCCACUUACCGUGAAACCUUUGUAGUCAUGAGCAGGAUAAAGCAGGGUAUCCUUUGGCAACGUGAAAAUCUGUUAAGGAAUAGAGUUUUCAGUUAGUUUAAUCCAUUGGGCAGUGUGCAUCCAUUUGGUUGGUGCAGAGGCUGGUAGAUCAAUAAAAGUCUUUUUGCAUAAGUUAGUUAUAAAUAGAUGCAUUAUGUUGCAGUUUUGUUUGUAUGACACCAAUACAAGAUUUUCAUGUAGUACUUGCCUGUGAAUGCACUGAUUGGUACAGCUGAUCGGAGCUUCCUCCCUGGAAUAAAAACAAACUAUCAAUACAAAAGAAAUUACCUUUGGCCAUAUCAGAAUUUUCUCUAAAAUUCAAACAUCCAGUGCAAGCUGAACUUAUGUCUGAAUCACAGGCUACUGCUACUAUGGAGCAUAACAGACAAUGAAUUUCAAUGCCUAAAAACUAGUCUUUAGCUCCAAAACACCAUUAAUACUUCUCCAUAUGAAGUGUUUCCUUCAGAUAUAGUUUUCCUGUUUAUUCUAGCUUUUCCAUAAGAUAUGCCUUUCCUGUUUUCCAGAUCAUGAAGAAGUGAGCGUGGUCACAAUAUUACCUGGAAGUCUGUCCUUCCGCAUGCACGUAUAAUUAAGGCAUCCCCAGUGAAAGCCAUCCUUG